RNAcentral lists this small RNA (92 nucleotides) under Epilithonimonas lactis. RNAcentral describes it as "Chryseobacterium halperniae Flavo-1 RNA". It matches the Rfam family "Flavo-1 RNA". The record is from RNAcentral. Lineage: Bacteria; Pseudomonadati; Bacteroidota; Flavobacteriia; Flavobacteriales; Weeksellaceae.
UUGAAUCCCGCAGCCCGACUUGAACGGAAAUCCUUUUUUGCUAUGGGAAAAGCCUGGGCAAAAAAGAUUGGGAGUGGAAGGCGGAAAUAGCU